AGCGGAACUUUGGGAGCUUGCUCCCAUUUGUUUAGCGGCGGACGGGUGAGUAACACGUGGGCAACCUGCCCUGCAGAUCGGGAUAACUCCGGGAAACCGGUGCUAAUACCGAAUAGUUUUUUGCCCCUCCUGGGGCGAAACGGAAAGACGGUUUCGGCUGUCACUGCAGGAUGGGCCCGCGGCGCAUUAGCUAGUUGGUGAGGUAAUGGCUCACCAAGGCGACGAUGCGUAGCCGACCUGAGAGGGUGAUCGGCCACACUGGGACUGAGACACGGCCCAGACUCCUACGGGAGGCAGCAGUAGGGAAUCUUCCGCAAUGGACGAAAGUCUGACGGAGCAACGCCGCGUGAGUGACGAAGGUUUUCGGAUCGUAAAACUCUGUUGUAAGGGAAGAACACAUGCCAUUUAACUGAUGGCAUCUUGACGGUACCUUACCAGAAAGCCACGGCUAACUACGUGCCAGCAGCCGCGGUAAUACGUAGGUGGCAAGCGUUGUCCGGAAUUAUUGGGCGUAAAGCGCGCGCAGGCGGUCCUUUAAGUCUGAUGUGAAAGCCCACGGCUCAACCGUGGAGGGUCAUUGGAAACUGGAGGACUUGAGUGCAGAAGAGGAAAGUGGAAUUCCACGUGUAGCGGUGAAAUGCGUAGAGAUGUGGAGGAACACCAGUGGCGAAGGCGACUUUCUGGUCUGU
RNAcentral lists this ribosomal RNA (689 nucleotides) under Planomicrobium sp. Its description in RNAcentral is "bacterial SSU rRNA". It matches the Rfam family "Bacterial small subunit ribosomal RNA", at positions 65 to 737 of the family's 1533-position model. The record is from RNAcentral. Lineage: Bacteria; Bacillati; Bacillota; Bacilli; Caryophanales; Caryophanaceae.